UAAGCCAUGCAUGCCUUCGAAUAAGUUGUGUGUAAGCAUUAUCAUCUGAAUCUGCGAACGGCUCCGCACACCAGUUACGAUCCAUUACAGGAAAGCCUUGGGAGAGGAAUACUAAACCGCUCCUAUCCCUUGGCUGCCACGGAUAAUUGCGGUAAUUCUGAAACUAAUACGAGAACGUACACCCUUGGUUGACCGGGAAACUGGGAAGCCGGGGGUCGCGCGAGGCACUAACCGCUAAAACCUGCGAAUGAAUACGCGCGCGAUCAGACCGUUACAAAACACGAUCUUGGGCCACGCACUUAGUACCCGCAAGGGGAAAGGCCGGCCCUCGUUCGAGCGGUGCCAGUAGCGCGUUUCUGACCUAUCAACUAGACUGCAUUAUCAUGGACUGUAAUGGUGACAACGGGUACAGAGGAUAAGGGUUCGAUCCUGGAGAGUGGGCCUGAGAGAUUGCUCACACUUCUAAGGAAGGCAGCAGGCGCGCAAAGUUCCCCUUGGGCAAAGCCCGAGGGCGUGAAGGGACAUAUGAAUGCCUGCCUAUGGUGGGCAAUUCAAAUGGGACUGUUUUAAACACCCUA
RNAcentral lists this ribosomal RNA (578 nucleotides) under Physarum viride. RNAcentral describes it as "SSU rRNA". It matches the Rfam family "Eukaryotic small subunit ribosomal RNA", at positions 45 to 536 of the family's 1831-position model. Lineage: Eukaryota; Evosea; Eumycetozoa; Physariida; Physaraceae. The record is from RNAcentral.